Molecule: unclassified non-coding RNA, 228 nt
Filed under: plant metagenome
Description: partial contains small subunit ribosomal RNA, internal transcribed spacer 1, and 5.8S ribosomal RNA
Source: RNAcentral
UUUCCGUAGGUGAACCUGCGGAAGGAUCAUUACAGUGUUCCCCGCCCUUCGGGGUAGGAGCGCCACCCUUGAUUAUUUAUGUCGGUUGCUUUGGCGGGCCUCGCGGCCUAGCCGCGCCCCGGCUUCGGCGGGGGGGCGCCCGCCAGAGGAUGCUACAAACCUGAUUAUUAGUGUCGUCUGAGUACUAUAUAAUAGUUAAAACUUUAAACAACGGAUCUCUUGGUUCUG